Molecule: ribosomal RNA, 401 nt
Filed under: uncultured bacterium
Lineage: Bacteria
Description: bacterial SSU rRNA
Rfam family: Bacterial small subunit ribosomal RNA
Source: RNAcentral
CCUACCCUUGACAUGCCAGGAAGCCUCUUGAGAGGGAGGUGUGCCCGAAAGGGAGCCUGGACACAGGUGCUGCAUGGCUGUCGUCAGCUCGUGUCGUGAGAUGUUGGGUUAAGUCCCGCAACGAGCGCAACCCUUGUCACUAGUUGCUACGGGUAACGGGCACUCUAGUGAGACUGCCGGUGACAAACCGGAGGAAGGUGGGGAUGACGUCAAGUCCUCAUGGCCCUUAUGGGUAGGGCUUCACACGUCAUACAAUGGCGCAUACAGAGGGCUGCCAACCCGCGAGGGGGAGCCAAUCCCAGAAAGUGCGUCGUAGUCCGGAUUGCAGUCUGCAACUCGACUGCAUGAAGUCGGAAUCGCUAGUAAUCGCGGAUCAGCAAUGUCGCGGUGAAUACGUUCCC